AGUGAACGCUGGCGGUAGGCCUAACACAUGCAAGUCGAACGGCCGCACAGUAAGCGCUCGCUCUUACGGGUGGCGAGUGGCGGACGGGUGAGGAAUACAUCGGAAUCUACUUUUUCGUGGGGGAUAACGUAGGGACACUUACGCUAAUACCGCAUACGUCCUACGGGUUAAAGCAGUAGUUCUUCGCACCUUUCGCGUUUGAUUUAGCUGAUGUCGGAUUAGCUAGUUGGCGGGGUAAAGGCCCACCAAGGCGACGAUCCGUAGCUGGUCUGAGAGGAUGAUCAGCCACACUGGAACUGAGACACGGUCCAGACUCCUACGGGAGGCAGCAGUGGGGAAUAUUGGACAAUGGGCGCAAGCCUGAUCCAGCCAUACCGCGUGGGUGAAGAAGGCCUUCGGGUUGUAAAGCCCUUUUGUUAGGAAAGAAAAGCAGCGGGUGAAUACCCCGCUGUUCUGACGGUACCCAAAGAAUAAGCACCGGCUAACUUCGUG
Molecule: ribosomal RNA, 492 nt
Filed under: uncultured bacterium
Lineage: Bacteria
Description: partial 16S ribosomal RNA
Rfam family: Bacterial small subunit ribosomal RNA
Source: RNAcentral